UGUAUAAUGGGUCAGCGACUUAUAUUCUGUAGCAAGGUUAACCGAAUAGGGGAGCCGAAGGGAAACCGAGUCUUAACUGGGCGUUAAGUUGCAGGGUAUAGACCCGAAACCCGGUGAUCUAGCCAUGGGCAGGUUGAAGGUUGGGUAACACUAACUGGAGGACCGAACCGACUAAUGUUGAAAAAUUAGCGGAUGACUUGUGGCUGGGGGUGAAAGGCCAAUCAAACCGGGAGAUAGCUGGUUCUCCCCGAAAGCUAUUUAGGUAGCGCCUCGUGAAUUCAUCUCCGGGGGUAGAGCACUGUUUCGGCAAGGGGGUCAUCCCGACUUACCAACCCGAUGCAAACUGCGAAUACCGGAGAAUGUUAUCACGGGAGACACACGGCGGGUGCUAACGUCCGUCGUGAAGAGGGAAACAACCCAGACCGCCAGCUAAGGUCCCAAAGUCAUGGUUAAGUGGGAAACGAUGUGGGAAGGCCCAGACAGCCAGGAUGUUGGCUUAGAAGCAGCCAUCAUUUAAAGAAAGCGUAAUAGCUCACUGGUCGAGUCGGCCUGCGCGGAAGAUGUAACGGGGCUAAACCAUGCACCGAAGCUGCGGCAGCGACGCUUAUGCGUUGUUGGGUAGGGGAGCGUUCUGUAAGCCUGCGAAGGUGUGCUGUGAGGCAUGCUGGAGGUAUCAGAAGUGCGAAUGCUGACAUAAGUAACGAUAAAGCGGGUGAAAAGCCCGCUCGCCGGAAGACCAAGGGUUCCUGUCCAACGUUAAUCGGGGCAGGGUGAGUCGACCCCUAAGGCGAGGCCGAAAGGCGUAGUCGAUGGGAAACAGGUUAAUAUUCCUGUACUUGGUGUUACUGCGAAGGGGGGACGGAGAAGGCUAUGUUGGCCGGGCGACGGUUGUCCCGGUUUAAGCGUGUAGGCUGGUUUUCCAGGCAAAUCCGGAAAAUCAAGGCUGAGGCGUGAUGACGAGGCACUACGGUGCUGAAGCAACAAAUGCCCUGCUUCCAGGAAAAGCCUCUAAGCAUCAGGUAACAUCAAAUCGUACCCCAAACCGACACAGGUGGUCAGGUAGAGAAUACCAAGGCGCUUGAGAGAACUCGGGUGAAGGAACUAGGCAAAAUGGUGCCGUAACUUCGGGAGAAGGCACGCUGAUAUGUAGGUGAAGCGACUUGCUCGUGGAGCUGAAAUCAGUCGAAGAUACCAGCUGGCUGCAACUGUUUAUUAAAAACACAGCACUGUGCAAACACGAAAGUGGACGUAUACGGUGUGACGCCUGCCCGGUGCCGGAAGGUUAAUUGAUGGGGUUAGCGGUAACGCGAAGCUCUUGAUCGAAGCCCCGGUAAACGGCGGCCGUAACUAUAACGGUCCUAAGGUAGCGAAAUUCCUUGUCGGGUAAGUUCCGACCUGCACGAAUGGCGUAAUGAUGGCCAGGCUGUCUCCACCCGAGACUCAGUGAAAUUGAACUCGCUGUGAAGAUGCAGUGUACCCGCGGCAAGACGGAAAGACCCCGUGAACCUUUACUAUAGCUUGACACUGAACAUUGAGCCUUGAUGUGUAGGAUAGGUGGGAGGCUUUGAAGUGUGGACGCCAGUCUGCAUGGAGCCGGCCUUGAAAUACCACCCUUUAAUGUUUGAUGUUCUAACGUUGGCCCCUGAUCGGGGUUGCGGACAGUGUCUGGUGGGUAGUUUGACUGGGGCGGUCUCCUCCUAAAGAGUAACGGAGGAGCACGAAGGUUGGCUAAUCCUGGUCGGACAUCAGGAGGUUAGUGCAAUGGCAUAAGCCAGCUUGACUGCGAGCGUGACGGCGCGAGCAGGUGCGAAAGCAGGUCAUAGUGAUCCGGUGGUUCUGAAUGGAAGGGCCAUCGCUCAACGGAUAAAAGGUACUCCGGGGAUAACAGGCUGAUACCGCCCAAGAGUUCAUAUCGACGGCGGUGUUUGGCACCUCGAUGUCGGCUCAUCACAUCCUGGGGCUGAAGUAGGUCCCAAGGGUAUGGCUGUUCGCCAUUUAAAGUGGUACGCGAGCUGGGUUUAGAACGUCGUGAGACAGUUCGGUCCCUAUCUGCCGUGGGCGCUGGAGAACUGAGGGGGGCUGCUCCUAGUACGAGAGGACCGGAGUGGACGCAUCACUGGUGUUCGGGUUGUCAUGCCAAUGGCACUGCCCGGUAGCUAAAUGCGGAAGAGAUAAGUGCUGAAAGCAUCUAAGCACGAAACUUGCCCCGAGAUGAGUUCUCCCUGAGACUUUAAGUCUCCUGAAGGAACGUUGAAGACGACGACGUUGAUAGGCCGGGUGUGUAAGCGCAGCGAUGCGUUGAGCUAACCGGUACUAAUGAACCGUGAG
This 2328-nucleotide ribosomal RNA is filed under the name Escherichia coli. RNAcentral's name for it is "partial 23S ribosomal RNA". It matches the Rfam family "Bacterial large subunit ribosomal RNA", at positions 609 to 2915 of the family's 2925-position model. The record is from RNAcentral. Lineage: Bacteria; Pseudomonadati; Pseudomonadota; Gammaproteobacteria; Enterobacterales; Enterobacteriaceae.